GGAUUAGAUACCCGGGUAGUCCACGCCGUAAACGAUGGAUGCUAGCUGUUAGGAGUAUCGACCCUCCUAGUAGCGUAGCUAACGCGUUAAGCAUCCCGCCUGUGGAGUACGGUCGCAAGACUAAAACAUAAAGGAAUUGACGGGGACCCGCACAAGCGGUGGAGCGUGUUGUUUAAUUCGAUGGUAAGCGAAGAACCUUACCCAGGCUUGACAUCCUGCCAAGUUCUCCGAAAGGAGAGUGUGCCUUCGGGCCGCAGUGACAGGUGUUGCAUGGCCGUCGUCAGCUCGUGUCGUGAGAUGUUUGGUUAAGUCCAUCAACGAGCGCAACCCUUAUAGUUAGUUGUAUUUCUCUAGCUAGACUGCCCUGGCAACAGGGAGGAAGGAGGGGAUGAUG
RNAcentral lists this ribosomal RNA (394 nucleotides) under uncultured bacterium. RNAcentral describes it as "bacterial SSU rRNA". It matches the Rfam family "Bacterial small subunit ribosomal RNA", at positions 775 to 1184 of the family's 1533-position model. The record is from RNAcentral.